CUUUAAAGGAGUUGACAGUGGGGUGUGGACCGUGUAGCCGAGACAGCUUGCAGGGUGGUUGUGCUCACCCCGCAUCAAGGUUGCUAAGCUGCUGUGAUGGAAUCCUGGAGCUGCUGAAGGACACCUCAUCUCUUUGUGGGAAGCAUCUGCUUGAGGAUUAAGGGAAUGCAGAAAAAAAGUGGAGUAGAGAGAUGGAGGAAGAUGACUUUCGAG
This 213-nucleotide long non-coding RNA is filed under the name Homo sapiens (human). RNAcentral's name for it is "HSALNT0397601". Lineage: Eukaryota; Metazoa; Chordata; Mammalia; Primates; Hominidae. The record is from RNAcentral.